Molecule: long non-coding RNA, 682 nt
Filed under: Trifolium pratense (red clover)
Lineage: Eukaryota; Viridiplantae; Streptophyta; Magnoliopsida; Fabales; Fabaceae
Description: long non-coding RNA (TPRA_LNC003870)
Source: RNAcentral
GAAUGUGACAAGCCCAAGCCUUCACCAACUCCAUACUACUACAAAUCACCUCCACCUCCCUCACCUGUUUACAAGUACAACUCUCCACCUCCACCAGUCCAUUAUUAUUCACCACCAUAUUACUACAAAUCACCUCCUCCUCCAGUAAAAUCGCCACCAACACCUUACUACUACAAAUCACCUCCACCUCCCUCACCAGUUUACAAGUACAACUCACCACCUCCACCGGUCCAUUAUUACUCUCCUCCAUAUUCCUAUAAGUCGCCUCCACCUCCCUCACCAGUUUACAAAUACAACUCCCCACCUCCACCAGUCCACCAUUAUGAUCCUCCAUAUUACUACAAGUCACCUCCACCUCCCUCACCAGUUUACAAGUACAACUCCCCACCUCCACCAGUCCAUUAUUAUUCACCUCCAUAUUACUACAAAUCCCCACCUCCUCCUGUGAAAUCCCCACCACCCCCUUACUACUAUAAAUCACCUCCACCUCCCUCACCAGUUUACAAAUACAACUCACCACCUCCACCGGUUUACAAGUACAACUCACCACCUCCACCAGUCCACCAUUAUGAUCCUCCAUAUAACUACAAGUCACCUCCACCUCCUUCACCUGUUUACAAGUACAACUCCCCACCUCCACCAGUCCAUUAUUAUUCACCUCCAUAUUACUACAAAUCACNNN